Molecule: ribosomal RNA, 492 nt
Filed under: uncultured Isosphaera sp.
Lineage: Bacteria; Pseudomonadati; Planctomycetota; Planctomycetia; Isosphaerales; Isosphaeraceae
Description: bacterial SSU rRNA
Rfam family: Bacterial small subunit ribosomal RNA
Source: RNAcentral
AGAGUUUGAUCCUGGCUCAGAGUGAACGCUGGCGGCGUGGAUUAGGCAUGCAAGUCGAGCGAUCUUGUAGCAAUACGAGAUAGCGGCAAAAGGGUUAGUAACACGUGAACAACUUUCCUCAAAAUCGGGGAUAGCACCGUGAAAACGGUGAUAAUACCGGAUGUUACCAGAAAUCGGCAUCGAUUUCUAGUCAAAGGCAGGGACCGUAAGGCCUGCUGUUUUGAGAUGGGUUCGCGUCCUAUCAGCUAGUUGGUGAGGUAAUGGCUCACCAAGGCGUUUGACGGGUAGCGGGUCUGAGAGGACGACCCGCAACACUGGGACUGAGACACUGCCCAGACUCCUACGGGAGGCUGCAGUCGAGAAUCUUUAGCAAUGGACGAAAGUCUGACUAUGCGACGCCGCGUGCAGGAUGAAGGUUUUCGGAUUGUAAACUGCUUUUGUCAGGAAAGAAACCUUAACGGUUAAUACUCGUUAAGCUGACGGUACCUACGA